RNAcentral lists this ribosomal RNA (429 nucleotides) under Chloroflexota bacterium. RNAcentral's name for it is "Chloroflexi bacterium partial 16S ribosomal RNA". It matches the Rfam family "Bacterial small subunit ribosomal RNA", at positions 355 to 776 of the family's 1533-position model. Lineage: Bacteria; Bacillati; Chloroflexota. The record is from RNAcentral.
UAGGGAAUCUUCGGCAAUGGACGAAAGUCUGACCGAGCAACGCCGCGUGAGUGAAGAAGGUUUUCGGAUCGUAAAACUCUGUUGUUAGAGAAGAACAAGGACGUUAGUAACUGAACGUCCCCUGACGGUAUCUAACCAGAAAGCCACGGCUAACUCCGUGCCAGCAGCCGCGGUAAUACGGAGGGUGCAAGCGUUAAUCGGAAUUACUGGGCGUAAAGCGCACGCAGGCGGUUGAUUGAGUCAGAUGUGAAAUCCCCGGGCUUAACCCGGGAAUUGCAUCUGAUACUGGUCAGCUAGAGUCUUGUAGAGGGGGGUAGAAUUCCAUGUGUAGCGGUGAAAUGCGUAGAGAUGUGGAGGAAUACCGGUGGCGAAGGCGGCCCCCUGGACAAAGACUGACGCUCAGGUGCGAAAGCGUGGGGAGCAAACAGG